This 520-nucleotide ribosomal RNA is filed under the name uncultured Archaeospora. RNAcentral describes it as "SSU rRNA". It matches the Rfam family "Eukaryotic small subunit ribosomal RNA", at positions 569 to 1095 of the family's 1831-position model. The record is from RNAcentral. Lineage: Eukaryota; Fungi; Glomeromycota; Glomeromycetes; Archaeosporales; Archaeosporaceae.
AGCAGCCGCGGUAAUUCCAGCUCCAAUAGCGUAUAUUAAAGUUGUUGCAGUUAAAAAGCUCGUAGUUGAAUUUUGGGUUUGGCCGAUUGGUCCGUUCUUGUAACGAGUACUGGUCGGUUGGGCCUCACCGCCUGGUGAUACGUAAUGUCCUUUAUUGGGUGUUGCGAGUAGCCAGGACCUUUACCUUGAAAAAAUUAGAGUGUUUAAAGCAGGCUUAUGCCGGAAUACAUUAGCAUGGAAUAAUAGAAUAGGACGAUGAUUCUAUUUUGUUGGUUUCUAGGAGCAUCGUAAUGAUUAAUAGGGAUAGUUGGGGGCAUUAGUAUUCAAUUGUCAGAGGUGAAAUUCUUGGAUUUAUUGAAGACUAACUACUGCGAAAGCAUUUGCCAAGGAUGUUUUCAUUAAUCAAGAACGAAAGUUAGGGGAUCGAAGACGAUCAGAUACCGUCGUAGUCUUAACCAUAAACUAUGCCGACUAGGGAUCGGGCGAUGUGUUUCAAUGACUCGCUCGGCACCUUAUGGGA